CGUCUGACAGUGGCAAUGUUGUUUUUAAACCAAAACAAUUAAUUCUCCAAAAUUGUAAUUUUUAUGUUAAGUUUAGGAGUAUUUAUCAAUUUUAAAACAAUUUACAGUGAAAUACGAGCGAUGAUAACAUUUUUAUUUUUCCAAAUCUUAGGUUAUUUAUAUCUGAAAGACACAAUAGGGGAAUCAGACGCAAUCCAUCUUUCAGUUUGGAAUGGAGUAUUGUUACCAGGAAACACAGAAAACAAUUAGAUUCCUCAUCAUGCGGAGUUUUUACGUUGAAGUUUGCAGAACAUGUUCUUACAGAUAAUGACUUUAUGUUUGACUCAUCAAAAAGGGCUAUAAGAGCAUCAAGACACAUCAUUGGACAAGUUCUUGUUGAUAACAGUGUUAAAGGAUUAUUACAACAACAGCAACCCAAGGCUAUGCCUUCAAGUCCUAA
Mytilus californianus (California mussel) is the source of this 439-nucleotide long non-coding RNA. RefSeq lists it as uncharacterized. The record is from RefSeq and is a predicted model, not a curated record. Lineage: Eukaryota; Metazoa; Mollusca; Bivalvia; Mytilida; Mytilidae. The transcript is spliced from 3 exons.